CCCCGGGGAUAACAGGCUUAUCUCCCCCAAGAGUUCACAUCGACGGGGAGGUUUGGCACCUCGAUGUCGGCUCAUCGCAUCCUGGGGCUGUAGUCGGUCCCAAGGGUUGGGCUGUUCGCCCAUUAAAGCGGUACGCGAGCUGGGUUCAGAACGUCGUGAGACAGUUCGGUCCCUAUCCGUCGUGGGCGUAGGAAAUUUGAGAGGAGCUGUCCUUAGUACGAGAGGACCGGGAUGGACAUACCUCUGGUGUACCAGUUGUCGUGCCAACGGCAUAGCUGGGUAGCUAUGUAUGGACGGGAUAAGUGCUGAAAGCAUCUAAGCAUGAAGCCCCCCUCAAGAUGAGAUUUCCCAACUUCGGUUAUAAGAUCCCUCGAAGAUGACGAGGUUAAUAGGUUCGAGGUGGAAGCGUGGUGACACGUGGAGCUGACGAAUACUAAUCGAUCGAAGACUUAAUCAAUUUUUAAA
RNAcentral lists this ribosomal RNA (465 nucleotides) under Staphylococcus epidermidis. RNAcentral's name for it is "partial 23S ribosomal RNA". It matches the Rfam family "Bacterial large subunit ribosomal RNA", at positions 2466 to 2925 of the family's 2925-position model. Lineage: Bacteria; Bacillati; Bacillota; Bacilli; Caryophanales; Staphylococcaceae. The record is from RNAcentral.